RNAcentral lists this unclassified non-coding RNA (279 nucleotides) under plant metagenome. RNAcentral describes it as "partial contains small subunit ribosomal RNA, internal transcribed spacer 1, and 5.8S ribosomal RNA". The record is from RNAcentral.
UUUCCGUAGGUGAACCUGCGGAAGGAUCAUUAUUGUAUAAUCGAGGAGCGAGGGCUGUCGCUGACACGAAAGAUCGUGCACGCACGAGUGCCCUAACAUAAAUACAUUUAAACCCUAAGUUGACCACCAAGUGGAUCCCCCUUUGACUUGUUCGGAGCGGGGCUUAUGGUUCCACACAAGCUUUGGAUGCAGGGAAGAAGGUAGUGUAUGUUUCUGCGAUCCCGCAAUUAAUUACGCUUUCAAAAACGGAUCUCUUGGCUCUCGCAUCGAAGAAGAACC